This is a long non-coding RNA of Polyodon spathula (Mississippi paddlefish), 429 nucleotides long. RefSeq lists it as uncharacterized. The record is from RefSeq and is a predicted model, not a curated record. The transcript has 3 exons. Lineage: Eukaryota; Metazoa; Chordata; Actinopteri; Acipenseriformes; Polyodontidae.
UUUAUUAUUAUUAUUAUUAUUAUUAUAAAAUAUUUCUGUGCAGCGAAACCUGGUGAAACAGCUUUUGGAGCUUCAGGAACAAGACCAACUUCCUGAGGGGAUCAGAACCUCUGAGCUAAGAGAGUGGCUUUUGGAGGAAGGCUGCAAACAUCUCAGAGACAUGGAGAGGAUUGGGAGAAACAGUUACUUUAGUAGGUCUCACGAAGACUUAAAAAAGAAAGGACAAAAAAGGAAAGAGCAGAACAGCUUGCGACUCACAGAGGAGGAGAUAAGGAGGCAUGAAAUGCAGAGAAAGAAGCUCAUGCUUUGUAACAGACACGAAGAGGAGUGGAAAACGAAGGAGAGGUCCCUUCUGAUGAAAAUAGAAGCGGAUGUCAAGCGUGAAAUUCGACUGGAAGUAAGAAGGAAAGAAGCUAGAGAAGAGAGAGC